Molecule: ribosomal RNA, 429 nt
Filed under: Fusobacteriota bacterium
Lineage: Bacteria; Fusobacteriati; Fusobacteriota
Description: Fusobacteria bacterium partial 16S ribosomal RNA
Rfam family: Bacterial small subunit ribosomal RNA
Source: RNAcentral
UGGGGAAUAUUGCGCAAUGGGCGAAAGCCUGACGCAGCGACGCCGCGUGAGGGAUGAAGGUUUUCGGAUCGUAAACCUCUGUCAGAAGGGAAGAAACCGCACUGUGCUAAUCAGCAGUGCCUUGACGGUAGCUUCAAAGGAAGCACCGGCUAACUCCGUGCCAGCAGCCGCGGUAAUACGGAGGGUGCAAGCGUUAAUCGGAAUUACUGGGCGUAAAGCGCACGUAGGCUGCUUUGUAAGUCAGGGGUGAAAUCCCACGGCUCAACCGUGGAACUGCCUUUGAUACUGCUUAGCUUGAAUCCGGGAGAGGGUGGCGGAAUUCCAGGUGUAGGAGUGAAAUCCGUAGAUAUCUGGAGGAACAUCAGUGGCGAAGGCGGCCACCUGGACCGGUAUUGACGCUGAGGUGCGAAAGCGUGGGGAGCGAACAGG